GCUGUUAAGGGUUCGUAGUUGAACUGUGAGCCGCCGAGAGGACAGGUCAGUCCCUCCCAUCAGGGUUGUCUGACUCCUGCACUUGGGGCUCGAGAACGUUCGAAACUACCAUCACGGGGCGUAUCCUCCGAACACGCGCACAAUGUGCGCAGGGGGACGCCUGUGUUCAUUACUGUGCUAAAAAAGGGCGACUAAAGCAGUCCAGCGACAUGAAUUAGAAAGCAUGGGAUAACAAAGGGCAGCCUAUAGGCUAUUCGCUUUUGUUGGUUUUACAGGUCUGUGGGAGAUUAUGGGUGCGCUGACAAGCGGUUCGGGGUUCGUCCCCACGCCUCCGCGGUUGUUCGUCGGCUCCCAGUGGGUCGCGGCGCCGUGGCUUGUGUUCCAGGAAUGAAGGAGGGUUGUUCGGGGGAGAACGUCUUGAGCGUGAGAGGUGAAAUUCUAAGACCGCUCAAAGACGAACUACAGCGAAGGCUUCUCCAAGGAUACCUUCCUCAAUCAAGAACCAAAGUGUGGAGAUCGAAGAUGAUUAGAGCCAUUGUAGUCCGUCCC
RNAcentral lists this ribosomal RNA (549 nucleotides) under uncultured kinetoplastid. Its description in RNAcentral is "bacterial SSU rRNA". It matches the Rfam family "Eukaryotic small subunit ribosomal RNA", at positions 615 to 1031 of the family's 1831-position model. The record is from RNAcentral. Lineage: Eukaryota; Euglenozoa; Kinetoplastea.